AGCGAACGCUGGCGGCGUGCUUAACACAUGCAAGUCGAGUGCGCAGUUUCCUGUAGCAAUACAGGAAAUGGGCGCACGGCGCACGGGUGCGUAACACGUGGACAAUCUACCCUUUGAUGGGGAAUAACCCGCCGAAAGGCGGGCUAAUACCGCAUAACAUCCCAGUCGCUUCGGCGAUAGGGAUCAAAGCCCGCAAGGGCGUCAUUGGAGGAGUCCGCGGCCGAUUAGCUAGUUGGUGAGGUAAUGGCUCACCAAGGCUUGGAUCGGUAGCCGGUCUGAGAGGACGAUCGGCCACACUGGAACUGAGACACGGUCCAGACUCCUACGGGAGGCAGCAGUGGGGAAUCUUGCGCAAUGGGCGAAAGCCUGACGCAGCGACGCCGCGUGGGGGAUGAAGCUUCUCGGAGUGUAAACCCCUUUCGACCCCGGACGAAUGACCCGCAAGGGUUUGACGGUACGGGGAGAAGAAGCCCCGGCUAACUACGUGCCAGCAGCCGCGGUAAGACGUAC
RNAcentral lists this ribosomal RNA (510 nucleotides) under uncultured bacterium. RNAcentral describes it as "bacterial SSU rRNA". It matches the Rfam family "Bacterial small subunit ribosomal RNA", at positions 29 to 530 of the family's 1533-position model. The record is from RNAcentral.